This 216-nucleotide ribosomal RNA is filed under the name Glomeromycotina sp. Its description in RNAcentral is "partial small subunit ribosomal RNA". The stretch from base 87 to 216 matches the Rfam family "Eukaryotic small subunit ribosomal RNA", at positions 733 to 864 of the family's 1831-position model. Lineage: Eukaryota; Fungi; Glomeromycota. The record is from RNAcentral.
GGGUCAGUAGGCUGGUCGUGCCACCGGUACGUACUGGUCUCACUGAUUCCUCCUUCCUGAAGAACCGUAAUGCCGGUAAUUUGGUGUUGCGGGGAAACAGGACUGUUACUUUGAAAAAAUUAGAGUGUUUAAAGCAAGCUAACGCUUGAAUACAUUAGCAUGGAAUAAUGAAAUAGGACGAUCGAUCCUAUUUUGCUGGUUUCUAGGAUUGACGUA